RNAcentral lists this ribosomal RNA (253 nucleotides) under uncultured bacterium. RNAcentral describes it as "partial 16S ribosomal RNA". It matches the Rfam family "Bacterial small subunit ribosomal RNA", at positions 524 to 776 of the family's 1533-position model. The record is from RNAcentral.
UACGAAGGGGGCUAGCGUUGCUCGGAAUCACUGGGCGUAAAGCGCACGUAGGCGGCUUGUUAAGUCAGGGGCGAAAUCCUGGAGCUCAACUCCAGAACUGCCUUUGAUACUGGCGAGCUUGAGUUCGGGAGAGGUGAGUGGAACUGCGAGUGUAGAGGUGAAAUUCGUAGAUAUUCGCAAGAACACCAGUGGCGAAGGCGGCUCACUGGCCCGAUACUGACGCUGAGGUGCGAAAGCGUGGGGAGCAAACAGG